Rosa chinensis is the source of this 1209-nucleotide long non-coding RNA. RefSeq lists it as uncharacterized. Lineage: Eukaryota; Viridiplantae; Streptophyta; Magnoliopsida; Rosales; Rosaceae. The record is from RefSeq and is a predicted model, not a curated record. The transcript is spliced from 8 exons.
UCCAUGACUUUUAGAUGUUUACCGUGCCAAAUCUAUAGAUAAGAGAAAAGCAUCGGAGGAGAAGAGGUUUUUCAUCGGAGGUGAUGUUUUAUUGAUGCUUGUAGUUUUGUGGUUUUGAAUCGGUGGAUUUUGUUGUGGUUGGGUUUCAAUUGAUCUUGGUUUUUAUGUUUUGUUGAGGUAAUGAUUUUGGUUUCUAUGUGUUUGGGUAUGGUUUUGUGGUUUUCAGUGGGUGGUUUUUGUUGAGGUUUGGAUUGUCAGUUUUUAUAGAUGUUUGGGUGUUUUGUUCUUUGAAUGGUGAUGAUUAUUUUGUUCUUAUUGUGUAGGUUUUAUGCAAAGGAGUAUUUGGGUUGUUCUUUUGGUGUUGUUAGUUGGUUUUACUUGGUUGUGCUGCUGUGAAUCAGGGUUUGUAAAACUCCAACCACUGAGAUACAGGACAACAGAACAAAUCAAUCUUUGUUUGCUUUGUAAAAGGUGAAGUAUUUGCAAGAGCCGGACAACAAUACCAAGUCCUGCAAAGCCAGAGGCAGCGAUCUCCGCGUUCAUUUUAAGGUCGCUGAGAUUGUUGCUAACUUCAUUGUGAAGGGUCUGGUAUUCCAGCAAGGUCGUAGUUCAGGCAUAUCGUCAGGCAAUUACAAGUAUGUCAAUGUUCCUCAAGAAAUCAACAGGCUGAGGUGCGGGGUGAACUAUCACGCUCUUAAAUUUCUUCCCGAGAUAGAGCAGAUGGCUGAUUUAUUGGCAUCAAGGAUGAGAAACCGCACUGGAAGUUCCAAUCCUUAUAUGUUAUGGAGGUCAUGAAGAUAUUGGAGAUUGACCUUGAAAGUGGAUGGAUUUUGCCCAAGUUAUUUCAGUGGGAAAGGAAAGCAAAUCACUUCUACACACAAAAAGACAUUGAUCAGGUCCGGGCCGAGUGGGCAAAGUAUGUCAGCCAAUUUCAACAAAGCUAGUGUGUCAAGAAGAUUCUAAUUUUGGACACGCAUCAUCUAUAACCCAUAUUAACUAGUUAUGCAGUUGGUCUAAGUAUCUAUUUUUGGCCUGCAAGUACAGUUUAUGAUCAGUAGUAUGAGAUAUCAAUGUUUUUUGGGUUACAUUUGUUGAUCAUGCCAACUGCUAUGGGUUAUUGAACUGAUGUUUAUUAAGUUUAGCUCCAUGAUGGAUGUAUGUAUAGCUGCAGGAACAGAUUGAUCAAAUAUUGGUAUUUUUGUGAAUGGA